RNAcentral lists this ribosomal RNA (460 nucleotides) under uncultured bacterium. Its description in RNAcentral is "bacterial SSU rRNA". It matches the Rfam family "Bacterial small subunit ribosomal RNA", at positions 23 to 507 of the family's 1533-position model. The record is from RNAcentral.
CUCAGGACGAACGCUGGCGGCGUGCCUAACACAUGCAAGUCGAACGGAGUUCCUUCGGGGACUUAGUGGCGAACGGGUGAGUAACGCGUGAAGAACCUGCCUUUCAGUGGGGGACAACAGUUGGAAACGACUGCUAAUACCGCAUAAUGUUAUUUGAGGGCAUCCUCGGAUAACCAAAGAUUUAUUGCUGAAAGAUGGCUUCGCGUCUGAUUAGCUAGAUGGCGGGGUAACGGCCCACCAUGGCGACGAUCAGUAGCCGGUCUGAGAGGAUGAACGGCCACAUUGGGACUGAGAUACGGCCCAGACUCCUACGGGAGGCAGCAGUGGGGAAUAUUGGGCAAUGGGCGAAAGCCUGACCCAGCAACGCCGCGUGAAGGAAGAAGGCCCUCGGGUUGUAAACUUCUUUUACCAGGGACGAAUAAUGACGGUACCUGGAGAAAAAGCAACGGCUAACUACGUG